Molecule: long non-coding RNA, 1154 nt
Filed under: Astyanax mexicanus (Mexican tetra)
Lineage: Eukaryota; Metazoa; Chordata; Actinopteri; Characiformes; Acestrorhamphidae
Description: lncRNA (ENSAMXG00005016905.1)
Source: RNAcentral
GGGCACAUCUACCCGCUUCUGAAAGCCUCUGGGGUCCUGACAGAAGCAGCCUCGCUCCUCACGUUAGCACACUUCGCUAAGCAGCUAACGCUAAACCUACAGAACUACAGCAGCAUGUCUGGAAGAGAAGGCGGGAAGAAGAAGCCCCUGAAGGCGGCUAAGAAGCAGUCGAAGGACAUAGAUGAUGACGAUAUGGCCUUCAAACAGAAGCAGAAGGAAGAGCAGAAAGCGAUGGAUGCGAUGAAGGCCAAAGCAGCAGGAAAAGGACCUUUAAGUAUGUAUUUGAUGUAUUUUUAUUGUAUAUAUAUUUUUUUUCUUUAUAAUAAUAGUGCUGUAUAGACAGAAGUGGUGCGCUAGGUGUCAGUGUUGAGCUGGUGUAGAUACAGCUCUGCUGUUUGUUGAGUCAUUUGGCAUUACUCAGAGAACUCAGAACAUUUUGUAGCAUCAUUUAUUUGACUUAUUUUAUUAAUGCAAAAUAUUGUUUAUUGUUUUGUUAAAAUUAUAGAAAUUAUUGUGAAUUAAUUUCUUUUGAGCAUGCCAGUCCUGUGGGGGCGAUAGUAUCUCAUAAAAAGAGUCAGCAACACAUAGAGGUCUUCCAAGUUACACACUACUCUCUAAACUGUGCACAGUGGAAUUUAGUUUGAAAAUAUAAACAGAGUAUUACAGAGUAGAUUUGUAAUAUAACACAUUUAAACAUUACAUUGGUUCGUGCGUGGAAAUCUAAAAUCUAGCACUAAAUCUCUGUAUUCAGUGUAGUUUUAUGAGUACAAUCUCAAAUACUUUCGUAUUUCUUUUAUAGCAAACUACACAUGAAUCAUGAAACUCUGUCAGACAGCACUAGAUUCUCGUUCAAUUAAAAAUAUAUUCUGCUCUGUUCAGAUUUAAAAUCUAUAAUUUCCUGACGUUUCUCAGGGGGUUCUGGGGUAAUUUUCUCUUUUAUGUGGGUUUUCUUAUCCUCUGUGAUUUUAUUCUCGUCCAGAACGAUCAUCUAGGUGUUUUUCUCAGACGUCCUCUGAGAAAAUUACAGGCUGAAUUAUCUACUGUUUUUCUCUGAACUCCGUGCUCCUCCGGUAAUUUUAGUCCCGUCCGGACGCACAUCUCUGAGUUUCGUCUCCUCGCCUUUAAUAAAAUAGAUAUUUGUCCACUGCCGAGCA